This 586-nucleotide small RNA is filed under the name Histoplasma capsulatum var. duboisii H88. Its description in RNAcentral is "Histoplasma capsulatum H88 hypothetical RNA". The record is from RNAcentral. Lineage: Eukaryota; Fungi; Ascomycota; Eurotiomycetes; Onygenales; Ajellomycetaceae.
ACGAACACUUAAAUUUAUAUUCCGGGUGGCCAUUUUCCUUUCUGUGCCAUCCACUCAUAUACGACUUGUACCAACCCGCGAGCAAAUCAUUACCACCCGCUCUUGAUAUCCCUCCAUCCUUUCCAAACUUUUCCCUGAAAUCUACAUUCGUAAAACACCCCGAGGCGAACAAUCACCCAAGCCAUAUCUGUCAUUUGCAGCGACGUGGCUUAUACUGAACGUUACAUCAACUAUUAUUUGAGGGCCCCCCGGGGGGAACUACCAAUUUCACAGCAUUGGAAAAUCGAUGCAGUGGAUAUAUUGAAUCAUUCUGUAGGGAGAAAGUUUGAGACCCAUUUAUAGCAGGGAAAACAGAUUGAUAAAUCGAAGUCCUGAAAAAUGGCAACUUGAUGAUACACCUUGCCUUUUGGAUGGAUACCAAAUUACGUUGUGUUUUGUUUCUCAAUCAAGAAUUCGAGUUCAAAAAAAAGAUAGGUCAUUUCUUUCCUACAUUAUCCAUUGUAUACAGGCCGGCCCCUUUGUUUCAAUGAGGAUGUAUGCACACUCGACCCAUGGACAUAGAAUGGGGGUUUAAGGAAAAAAUUGU